RNAcentral lists this long non-coding RNA (1502 nucleotides) under Homo sapiens (human). RNAcentral's name for it is "long intergenic non-protein coding RNA 1121". Lineage: Eukaryota; Metazoa; Chordata; Mammalia; Primates; Hominidae. The record is from RNAcentral.
GCUUAGGUAACUCACAUUUGCGACUUGCACGGUGUGAAUUGUGGGUGUCCUCACCUGUCCUGAGACUAGCCAGCUGACUGUUGCCCAGAGCUAGCAGGCAUAGCCAGCUGAAAUUCUGAAAGUGGAUUAUGCAUGGAGUAAUGCUGUUCUCAGGAAAUCAGUGAUUUAUUUUAUAAUCUAAAAUUUAAACGUUUUAAUAUACCUCCCAAGAAGAUACCCAGUUCAGAAAACUGCAGAGGAGCCAUGGAACUCAGCAGAAGGCCAGCUCCCUCUCUGGGAGGCCGCCUUCAGGAAACCAAUCGUCCCCCCACCUGAUUCCAAAGGAAUUACAGAAAAAUGGAAAGCCAGGAACAAAAAUCAUAAAUCAUAUUUUCAAUAUGACCUUGUAACGUUAUCCAUGGAUGUUACCUCAGACUUCGUGAUAAGCUGAGGCCCUGACACCAUGUUCCUGUCACCUUCCUGUUGUGGCCAUGAACGAUGCCUUGAGCUCAGCUGUACCUGGAUGCUUGGACUCAGCUGCUGCAGCUCAGAGGCUCUGGACGAGCCCUUCAUCAUCAGGCCAUCUCUUCUGAGAUUCUGCUCAGGACUUGGGCCUGGAUGAUCUGCUGAGCUUCAGUCUCUGCCCUGCUCCCCUCAUGGAGGACCUGAUUCAUCUGGAGCCUCGGACUCCCUAUGUAGUGGUCCCUGGGAUCAGAGCAGCACUCUUGGAAGAACAGUAAAACAGACUUGUUAUUGGCAGCCCAUUAGUGCUCAGGAGAGGCGGUCUCCAGCAUGACAUCAGCCGGCGGCUCGACCCAAAUCUAGUAUUUCACCAGAGAGCCUAACGCUGCUGGCUUUCCAACUGUGUGGAAGACGAUACAGGCGUAACAAAGACAAGGAUGAAAUAAGUCCUGUGAUGGAGAGACAAGCAAAAUUCUACCUGACUUCACAGGAGGAAGAAGUGUGCUGUGCCAGGGGGAACAGGAGAAAGCUUCAUGGAAGAGCGACAUUCACGAGAGAGACGAAUAGGACACGGUCAUCCGAGUGCCGAGGCGCGGAAGCGCGAACUGCCCGGAGCGACCUGGCUUGGCGCACAGACUCAUUAACCAAGCCCGAGAGGAGGCAGCAAUGCGUGUGCGGGAAAGGGAGCGGUUCUCAAAAUACAAAGUGAUAAAACAGCUUCCAGUUAUAUUGAAAAACGAUGCAAACCCUCAAUUCCUUUUUUUUUUUUUUGGACCUGGCCGGACCUGGAAAUGCCGGUUAUAAACAAGAAUAAAAACUUGAAUUUAUUGGUGGAAGUCCUGUUAAAAGAGCUCAACACAAGCAUAUGAGACAAACUGCAAGAAGCAAACAGUCUCCAUUCAGAGAGCAGGACCACACUCUGGGUUCUUGUUUAAGCGUUUGACGUGCACAUGAGACACCUAACAAAGCCUGAAACUAAAUUUAUUUUUCACUACAUCUCUCUGGUAUCAAACUUUUGGAAGUAAAGCAUGUAUUUAUCAAUAAAACAGAUGUUUGCCCAG